Molecule: ribosomal RNA, 484 nt
Filed under: uncultured bacterium
Lineage: Bacteria
Description: partial 16S ribosomal RNA
Rfam family: Bacterial small subunit ribosomal RNA
Source: RNAcentral
AUUGAACGCUGGCGACAUGCCUUACACAUGCAAGUCGAACGGCAGCACGGGUGCUUGCACCUGGUGGCGAGUGGCGAACGGGUGAGUAAUACAUCGGAACAUGUCCUGUAGUGGGGGAUAGCCCGGCGAAAGCCGGAUUAAUACCGCAUACGAUCUACGGAUGAAAGCGGGGGACCUUCGGGCCUCGCGCUAUAGGGUUGGCCGAUGGCUGAUUAGCUAGUUGGUGGGGUAAAGGCCUACCAAGGCGACGAUCAGUAGCUGGUCUGAGAGGACGACCAGUCACACUGGGACUGAGACACGGCCCAGACUCCUACGGGAGGCAGCAGUGGGGAAUUGUGGACAAUGGGCGAAAGCCUGAUCCAGCAAUGCCGCGUGUGUGAAGAAGGCCUUCGGGUUGUAAAGCACUUUUGUCCGGAAAGAAAUCCUUGGCCCUAAUACGGUCGGGGGAUGACGGUACCGGAAGAAUAAGCACCGGCUAACUACG